RNAcentral lists this ribosomal RNA (253 nucleotides) under uncultured bacterium. RNAcentral's name for it is "partial 16S ribosomal RNA". It matches the Rfam family "Bacterial small subunit ribosomal RNA", at positions 524 to 776 of the family's 1533-position model. The record is from RNAcentral.
UACGGAGGGAGCUAGCGUUAUUCGGAAUUACUGGGCGUAAAGCGCACGUAGGCGGCUGUGUAAGUUAGAGGUGAAAGCCCGGAGCUCAACUCCAGAAUUGCCUUUAAAACUGCAUCGCUCGAAUCCGGGAGAGGUGAGUGGAAUUCCGAGUGUAGAGGUGAAAUGCGUAGAUAUACGGAAGAACACCAGUGGCGAAGGCGGCUCACUGGACCGGCAUUGACGCUGAGGUGCGAAAGCGUGGGGAGCAAACAGG